This 445-nucleotide ribosomal RNA is filed under the name uncultured bacterium. RNAcentral's name for it is "SSU rRNA". It matches the Rfam family "Bacterial small subunit ribosomal RNA", at positions 26 to 518 of the family's 1533-position model. The record is from RNAcentral.
AGGACGAACGCUGGCGGCGUGCUUAACACAUGCAAGUCGAGCGCUGUAGCAAUACAGAGCGGCAGACGGGUGAGUAACGCGUGGGAACAUACCUUUUGGUUCGGAACAACACAGGGAAACUUGUGCUAAUACCGGAUAAGCCCUUACGGGGAAAGAUUUAUCGCCGAAAGAUUGGCCCGCGUCUGAUUAGCUAGUUGGUGAGGUAACGGCUCACCAAGGCGACGAUCAGUAGCUGGUCUGAGAGGAUGAUCAGCCACAUUGGGACUGAGACACGGCCCAAACUCCUACGGGAGGCAGCAGUGGGAAUAUUGGACAAUGGGCGCAAGCCUGAUCCAGCCAUGCCGCGUGAGUGAUGAAGGCCCUAGGGUUGUAAAGCUCUUUUGUGCGGGAAGAUAAUGACGGUACCGCAAGAAUAAGCCCCGGCUAACUUCGUGCCAGCAGCCGC